This 2916-nucleotide ribosomal RNA is filed under the name Vibrio parahaemolyticus O1:K33 str. CDC_K4557. Its description in RNAcentral is "bacterial LSU rRNA". It matches the Rfam family "Bacterial large subunit ribosomal RNA". Lineage: Bacteria; Pseudomonadati; Pseudomonadota; Gammaproteobacteria; Vibrionales; Vibrionaceae. The record is from RNAcentral.
GUUGUAUGGUUAAGUGACUAAGCGUACACGGUGGAUGCCUUGGCAGUCAGAGGCGAUGAAAGACGUAGUAACUUGCGAUAAGCCCAGAUUAGGUAGUAACAACCAUUUGAGUCUGGGAUUUCUGAAUGGGGAAACCCACUUACAUAAGUAAGUAUCAUUAACUGAAUACAUAGGUUAAUGAGGCGAACCGGGGGAACUGAAACAUCUAAGUACCCCGAGGAAAAGAAAUCAACCGAGAUUCCGAAAGUAGCGGCGAGCGAAAUUGGACUAGCCCUUAAGCUUUACACGCGUUAGACGAACGGUCUGGAAAGUCCGACGAUACAGGGUGAUAGUCCCGUAGUUGACGACGUGUGUUCAGUGAAAUCGAGUAGGGCGGGACACGUGAUAUCCUGUCUGAAUAUGGGGGGACCAUCCUCCAAGGCUAAAUACUACUGACUGACCGAUAGUGAACCAGUACCGUGAGGGAAAGGCGAAAAGAACCCCUGUGAGGGGAGUGAAAUAGAACCUGAAACCGUGUACGUACAAGCAGUAGGAGCAGGCUUUGUCCUGUGACUGCGUACCUUUUGUAUAAUGGGUCAGCGACUUAUAUUCAGUGGCAAGGUUAACCAUCUAGGGGAGCCGUAGGGAAACCGAGUCUUAACUGGGCGUUCAGUCUCUGGAUAUAGACCCGAAACCAGGUGAUCUAGCCAUGGGCAGGUUGAAGGUUGAGUAACAUCAACUGGAGGACCGAACCGACUAAUGUUGAAAAAUUAGCGGAUGACUUGUGGCUAGGGGUGAAAGGCCAAUCAAACCUGGAGAUAGCUGGUUCUCCCCGAAAGCUAUUUAGGUAGCGCCUCGGACGAAUACUACUGGGGGUAGAGCACUGUUAAGGCUAGGGGGUCAUCCCGACUUACCAACCCUUUGCAAACUCCGAAUACCAGUAAGUACUAUCCGGGAGACACACGGCGGGUGCUAACGUCCGUCGUGGAGAGGGAAACAACCCAGACCGCCAGCUAAGGUCCCAAAUUACUACUAAGUGGGAAACGAUGUGGGAAGGCUCAGACAGCCAGGAUGUUGGCUUAGAAGCAGCCAUCAUUUAAAGAAAGCGUAAUAGCUCACUGGUCGAGUCGGCCUGCGCGGAAGAUGUAACGGGGCUAAGUAGUAAACCGAAGCUGCGGCAAUGUGCUUUUGCACAUUGGGUAGGGGAGCGUUCUGUAAGCGGUUGAAGGUGUGUGGUAACGCAUGCUGGACGUAUCAGAAGUGCGAAUGCUGACAUGAGUAACGAUAAAGGGGGUGAAAAACCUCCUCGCCGGAAGACCAAGGGUUCCUGUCCAACGUUAAUCGGGGCAGGGUAAGUCGACCCCUAAGGCGAGGCCGAAAGGCGUAGUCGAUGGGAAACGGGUUAAUAUUCCCGUACUUCUUACAAUUGCGAUGGGGGGACGGAGAAGGCUAGGUGGGCCUGGCGACGGUUGUCCAGGUUCAAGUGCGUAGGCUUAAGAGUUAGGUAAAUCCGGCUCUUUCUAAGGCUGAGACACGACGUCGAGCACCUACGGGUGUGAAGUCAUUGAUGCCAUGCUUCCAGGAAAAGCCUCUAAGCUUCAGAUUGUAAGGAAUCGUACCCCAAACCGACACAGGUGGUCGGGUAGAGAAUACCAAGGCGCUUGAGAGAACUCGGGUGAAGGAACUAGGCAAAAUGGUACCGUAACUUCGGGAGAAGGUACGCUCUUGAUGGUGAAGUCCCUUGCGGAUGGAGCUAUUGAGAGUCGCAGAUACCAGGUGGCUGCAACUGUUUAUUAAAAACACAGCACUGUGCAAAAUCGUAAGAUGACGUAUACGGUGUGACGCCUGCCCGGUGCCGGAAGGUUAAUUGAUGGGGUUAGACUUCGGUCGAAGCUCUUGAUCGAAGCCCCGGUAAACGGCGGCCGUAACUAUAACGGUCCUAAGGUAGCGAAAUUCCUUGUCGGGUAAGUUCCGACCUGCACGAAUGGCGUAAUGAUGGCCACGCUGUCUCCACCCGAGACUCAGUGAAAUUGAAAUCGCUGUGAAGAUGCAGUGUACCCGCGGCUAGACGGAAAGACCCCGUGAACCUUUACUACAGCUUGGCACUGAACAUUGACCCUACAUGUGUAGGAUAGGUGGGAGGCUUUGAAGCACGUACGCCAGUAUGUGUGGAGCCGUCCUUGAAAUACCACCCUUGUAGUGUUGAUGUUCUAACGUUGACCCCUAAUCGGGGUUGCGGACAGUGCCUGGUGGGUAGUUUGACUGGGGCGGUCUCCUCCCAAAGAGUAACGGAGGAGCACGAAGGUGGGCUAAUCACGGUUGGACAUCGUGAGGUUAGUGCAAUGGCAUAAGCCCGCUUGACUGCGAGAAUGACAAUUCGAGCAGGUGCGAAAGCAGGUCAUAGUGAUCCGGUGGUUCUGAAUGGAAGGGCCAUCGCUCAACGGAUAAAAGGUACUCCGGGGAUAACAGGCUGAUACCGCCCAAGAGUUCAUAUCGACGGCGGUGUUUGGCACCUCGAUGUCGGCUCAUCACAUCCUGGGGCUGAAGUCGGUCCCAAGGGUAUGGCUGUUCGCCAUUUAAAGUGGUACGCGAGCUGGGUUUAGAACGUCGUGAGACAGUUCGGUCCCUAUCUGCCGUGGGCGUUGGAAGAUUGAAGGGGGCUGCUCCUAGUACGAGAGGACCGGAGUGGACGAACCUCUGGUGUUCGGGUUGUGUCGCCAGACGCAUUGCCCGGUAGCUAAGUUCGGAAUCGAUAACCGCUGAAAGCAUCUAAGCGGGAAGCGAGCCCUGAGAUGAGUCUUCCCUGAUACUUUAAGUAUCCUAAAGGGUUGUCGGAGACUACGACGUUGAUAGGUCAGGUGUGUAAGUGCUGUGAGGCAUUGAGCUAACUGAUACUAAUUGCCCGUGAGGCUUAACCAUACAACACCCAAGGGGUUU